This 253-nucleotide ribosomal RNA is filed under the name uncultured bacterium. RNAcentral's name for it is "partial 16S ribosomal RNA". It matches the Rfam family "Bacterial small subunit ribosomal RNA", at positions 524 to 776 of the family's 1533-position model. The record is from RNAcentral.
UACGUAGGGGGCAAGCGUUGUCCGGACUUAUUGGGCGUAAAGAGCGUGUAGGCGGCUUGACAGGUCUGCUGUGAAAACUCGAGGCUCAACCUCGAGAUGUCGGCGGAAACCGUCUGGCUAGAGUCCGGAAGAGGAGAGUGGAAUUCCUGGUGUAGCGGUGAAAUGCGCAGAUAUCAGGAAGAACACCUAUGGCGAAGGCAGCUCUCUGGGACGGUACUGACGCUGAGACGCGAAAGCGUGGGGAGCGAACAGG